RNAcentral lists this ribosomal RNA (253 nucleotides) under uncultured bacterium. Its description in RNAcentral is "partial 16S ribosomal RNA". It matches the Rfam family "Bacterial small subunit ribosomal RNA", at positions 524 to 776 of the family's 1533-position model. The record is from RNAcentral.
UACGUAGGGGGCAAGCGUUGUCCGGAAUCAUUGGGCGUAAAGCGCGUGUAGGCGGUUCAGUAAGUCUGCUGUGAAAGUCCAGGGCUCAACCCUGGGAUGCCGGUGGAUACUGCUGGGCUAGAGUACGGAAGAGGCGAGUGGAAUUCCCGGUGUAGCGGUGAAAUGCGCAGAUAUCAGGAGGAACACCGAUGGCGAAGGCAGUGUUCUGGGCCAGUACUGACGCUGAGGAGCGAAAGCGUGGGGAGCAAACAGG